This 891-nucleotide ribosomal RNA is filed under the name uncultured bacterium. Its description in RNAcentral is "bacterial SSU rRNA". It matches the Rfam family "Bacterial small subunit ribosomal RNA", at positions 94 to 1015 of the family's 1533-position model. The record is from RNAcentral.
AGUGGCGCACGGGUGAGUAACACGUGACUAACCUACCCUGGAGUGGGGAAUAACUGAGGGAAACCUUAGCUAAUACCGCAUAACACCUACGGGUCAAAGGAGCAAUUCGCUUCAGGAGGGGGUCGCGGCCGAUUAGUUAGUUGGCGGGGUAAUGGCCCACCAAGACGAUGAUCGGUAUCCGGCCUGAGAGGGCGCACGGACACACUGGAACUGAAACACGGUCCAGACUCCUACGGGAGGCAGCAGUGGGGAAUUUUGCGCAAUGGGGGAAACCCUGACGCAGCAACGCCGCGUGGAGGAUGAAGUACUUCGGUACGUAAACUCCUUUCGAUCGGGACGAUAAUGACGGUACCGAGAGAAGAAGCCCCGGCUAACUUCGUGCCAGCAGCCGCGGUAAUACGAGGGGGGCGAGCGUUGUUCGGAAUUAUUGGGCGUAAAGGGUGCGUAGGCGGUUUGGUAAGUCUUGUGUGAAAUCUAUGGGCUCAACUCAUAGUCUGCACGAGAAACUGCCGGGCUUGAGUAUGGAAGAGGUGAGUGGAAUUCCUGGUGUAGCGGUGAAAUGCGUAGAUAUCAGGAGGAACACCUGUGGCGAAAGCGGCUCACUGGACCAUAACUGACGCUGAUGCACGAAAGCUAGGGGAGCAAACAGGAUUAGAUACCCUGGUAGUCCUAGCCCUAAACGAUGACUGCUUGGUGUGACGGGUACCCAAUCCCGCCGUGCCGUAGCUAACGCGUUAAGCAGUCCGCCUGGGGAGUACGGUCGCAAGGCUGAAACUCAAAGGGAUUGACGGGGGCCCGCACAAGCGGUGGAGCAUGUGGUUUAAUUCGACGCAACGCGAAGAACCUUACCUGGGCUCGAAAUGUUAUGGACCGCGGUAGAAAUAUCGCUUU